ACAGCCAAGGCUCCAAGUAAUGUGAAUGUGUGUACGUGUGAAGAAGCAAAUAACAAGAAGCAAGACUUCAGCCAAUAGUACUCUGUUCUCCAACUAAGUACUCUGUUUUCUCUUAGUCCUUCACGAGCUCUCUCUGCCCAUUUAUAACAAGUCCCUUGCUACACAAAAAAAAAUAAAAAUACCAACAAGAAGAAGCCCCUGGCGAAGAAGGAGCCUCCGACCGGGCCGGAGCGCCAGGUGUUCCAGUGCCCGGCGAAGUGCCCGGAGUGCGGAGCGCAGUACGCGUCCAUGGUCACCGUGCAAGGACCCGACCAGGCUACUACGACUAUCAAGUCCCGAACAUGAGUAAACCGUUGCUUCCAUGCCACUAGAUGCUGGCGCCGCUACUUCAAAAAACAGACUAGAGGAGAACUCGGUUAAUACUGAGCACCCAGCACAGCAGUGAACACCUCGGUUGGCCAUCAUCUCUUUCACGGUUUGAGUUUAUAUUCUAUUGGAGGGACGAUACGUGAAAGGCAACAACGUCGGAAUUCAUAAUAAAAGCAAAGAAAGGAAGGUACUUGAAACAUGUAGUAAAAUAGUAUAUUCUCUAUUAGAUAUUGUAUUAGAUAUUGCAUGAGUAACACCUGUGUUACCCCUAAUUUAGAAAAUCGUUUGUCUGAGUCAAAAGAAGAUACAAUAUCUAGACAACAAA
This is a long non-coding RNA of Oryza brachyantha (malo sina), 694 nucleotides long. RefSeq lists it as uncharacterized. The record is from RefSeq and is a predicted model, not a curated record. The transcript is spliced from 3 exons. Lineage: Eukaryota; Viridiplantae; Streptophyta; Magnoliopsida; Poales; Poaceae.